RNAcentral lists this ribosomal RNA (253 nucleotides) under uncultured bacterium. Its description in RNAcentral is "partial 16S ribosomal RNA". It matches the Rfam family "Bacterial small subunit ribosomal RNA", at positions 524 to 776 of the family's 1533-position model. The record is from RNAcentral.
UACGUAGGGGGCUAGCGUUGUCCGGAUUUAUUGGGCGUAAAGAGCGUGUAGGCGGCCAGGUAGGUCUGCUGUGAAAACUCGAGGCUCAACCUCGAGACGUCGGCGGAAACCAUCUGGCUAGAGUCCGGAAGAGGAGAGUGGAAUUCCUGGUGUAGCGGUGAAAUGCGCAGAUAUCAGGAGGAACACCGUUGGCGAAGGCGCACAUCUGGCCCGAUACUGACGCUGAGGCGCGAAAGCUAGGGGAGCAAACGGG